UUUAAAAAAUCAUCAAAAUCGGAGUUAAAAUAACCGUUAAAUCGUGAUUUUUCAUUAUAACCGUCGAAGAGUUUUGUCCCAUUACUUGAUCUCUGAAUGUUUAUUUUUUUCGAUUUUUGGUGUAUAUGAUCUCGAAGUAUAAACAAACAAGUUUGACGGUUGGAUCGUUGAAACUAGUUUUUUUGUAUGCAUAUGCCAUCAAAACAAUAUAUUCACUAACAAUUAAGAGUUUAUUUAUACUUUCCUU
RNAcentral lists this long non-coding RNA (247 nucleotides) under Prunus persica (peach). RNAcentral's name for it is "long non-coding RNA (PPER_LNC004217)". The record is from RNAcentral. Lineage: Eukaryota; Viridiplantae; Streptophyta; Magnoliopsida; Rosales; Rosaceae.